GUCUACGGCCAUGCCACCCUAAACAAACCCGAUGUCUGAUCUUGGAAGCUAAGCAGGGUCAGGCCUGGUUAGUACUUGGAUUAGAGACCACUUAGGAAGACCAGGUGCUGUAGGCA
RNAcentral lists this ribosomal RNA (116 nucleotides) under Pteropus alecto (black flying fox). The record is from RNAcentral. Lineage: Eukaryota; Metazoa; Chordata; Mammalia; Chiroptera; Pteropodidae.